This 1139-nucleotide long non-coding RNA is filed under the name Mytilus galloprovincialis (Mediterranean mussel). The record is from RNAcentral. Lineage: Eukaryota; Metazoa; Mollusca; Bivalvia; Mytilida; Mytilidae.
AACAAAACAUUGUUGAUGACCUUAUGACCUUGUCAUCAGGAAACAGAUGGCAGGGUGUGAGAUCACAUUGUAUCCUUAUCAACAGGAAAACAUCUCCAGUCACCAACAUCAUCACAAUGUUUUAAUAAGAAAGAGUUCUUUUAACUCAGAUUUUACACUUUAAAUAUCUUCAGUUGUUAUAUUUGUUUCACUCUAUUCAAAGGCUUUUGAGAAAAAGAGGUUCAAAUGUAGUUAUUUUUCAUUAGACACUUCGUUAGAUUUUAUUUCCUUAAAUAUAUACUUAUCAGAUAAAAGUUUUAAGUACUUAAUUUCCUAUUCUUUAUGCAGGAUAUACAAACUUAAAUAAUCUGUUUAAAUAAUCAUUUCCAAAACGUGGCAGAACAGCUUUUUCCUAGACAGGGCCAGAUUUUAAAUUCAAAAUUCUUCAUGCAGGAUAUGCACAUUUAAAAAAUCUGUUUAUAAUAAUAAGUUCCAAAACUUGGCAACACAAUUUUUUCCUAGAUAGGGCCAGAUUCAAAUGAAAAAGAUGAAUCAGAUGUAAAAAGACACAUAAGGUCAGAAGAAGACUUGUUCUUUUAAAAGAUUAAAGUAGUCAUGUUUCCUCUUAUUAAAAAAUAAUAGUUGGCUCAAAGUUCAAUCUCAUGUCAGACAUGGAACUGCCCAGGAGCAGUAUAUCCAACUCAAACCAGUUCUGCAGUAAGAUGCUACUGCUGAGAAGGUUUGAAUAUGAUAUUACUCAGAACUUAAAAAUAGUUCACUUUACGACUACAGACAUACUCAGAAUUACUAAAUAGUGAGCUUGGAAAAGUCAAUAUUCAAAUUUGUGUCCAAUUUGAGAUUUUUUAAGGGAAAAAAUAUCUACAUAUAUAUGGGAUAAACAGUAUUCUUGCAGAUUCUUAUGAAAACACAUUUGACACAGAACUCAAAAGAUUUCAACAUCUGCUCAUCAAAACAAUUAACUCGAACCUGCUUGAAAGUAACAUAUGAUAUUUAAUAUCUCAACAUCUAAACACUGUUUUUGUUAUAUCUCUUUACCAUCAAUAUGACCAAUAUGACCAUUUUCAAGUUCACAAACUUAUUAUUAUUAUGCAAACAAAUAUUUGAGACAUUUUAUAAUCAUUAUUUAACAAAUGUAUACA